AAAACGUCAGAAUGGAAAAGUGGGAAAUGGGUAGGGAGAAAGAAAGCCCAAAACAAUGAAAAGUUGAGCCCAAAUUAGAAAUGAGAAAAGGGUUGGAAGUGGUGGUGAUUGGGCAACAGAAAGAAAGAGAGUUUUGAAAUCUAAAGAAGAGAAUUGGAAAGAUGGGUGGUGCAGUGUGGGGGACUCGGAGAUCGUGAAGAACCAUGACACUGAAGGACUGAAUUAAACUCACCACCACCCGCAAAGCCAAUGCUGGGAAGCGCCUCCUCCGGGUUUGGCAGUGAAAUGAAGAGGUGCUUGGAGUGAAGUUACGUGAUGGGGUACAGCUGGAGGUGACCCAAGGCAAGACAAAGAAAGAGGCUAUAUCAGUGGCAUGGCACUGAUUUGAUGAAAGUACUCAACUAACCCUCUCCCUCUCUCAUACUAACUUCUUUCUAUUUCUGUUCUAUCCCUCAACGGGGAGCAAACCAAUAUGAAUGAAUAGAGGAAACUCAACUCUUUUGGUUUUCUUUUGUUAGUAAGUAACUUCUUCACACUUCAGACGCA
This is a long non-coding RNA of Vigna unguiculata (cowpea), 546 nucleotides long. Lineage: Eukaryota; Viridiplantae; Streptophyta; Magnoliopsida; Fabales; Fabaceae. The record is from RefSeq and is a predicted model, not a curated record.